UAACCUGCCUGGUAGCGGGGGAUAACUAUUGGAAACGAUAGCUAAUACCGCAUAAUAGCAGUUAUUGCAUGAUAACUGUUUGAAAGGUGCAAAUGCAUCACUACCAGAUGGACCUGCGUUGCAUUAGCUAGUUGGUGGGGUAACGGCUCACCAAGGCGACGAUACAUAGCCGACCUGAGAGGGUGAUCGGCCACACUGGGACUGAGACACGGCCCAG
Molecule: ribosomal RNA, 217 nt
Filed under: uncultured bacterium
Lineage: Bacteria
Description: partial 16S ribosomal RNA
Rfam family: Bacterial small subunit ribosomal RNA
Source: RNAcentral